ACAAUGGCAAGGAGGUCACACCUGUUCCCAUGCCGAACACAGAAGUUAAGCUCCUUAGCGCCGAUGGUAGUC
RNAcentral lists this ribosomal RNA (72 nucleotides) under Staphylococcus warneri L37603. Lineage: Bacteria; Bacillati; Bacillota; Bacilli; Caryophanales; Staphylococcaceae. The record is from RNAcentral.